This 774-nucleotide ribosomal RNA is filed under the name uncultured Neocallimastigales. Its description in RNAcentral is "partial large subunit ribosomal RNA". It matches the Rfam family "Eukaryotic large subunit ribosomal RNA", at positions 19 to 646 of the family's 3401-position model. The record is from RNAcentral. Lineage: Eukaryota; Fungi; Neocallimastigomycota; Neocallimastigomycetes; Neocallimastigales.
CGAGCACGCGCGUGUGGCAUAUCAAUAAGCGGAGGAAAAGAAACUAACAAGGAUUCCCUUAGUAACGGCGAGUGAAGCGGGAAGAGCUCAAAUUUGAAAUCUUCAAGGUUCUACCUUGACGAAUUGUAGUUUAUAGAAGUGUUUUCUGUUAGUGGAGUGGCAAAAGUUCUUUGGAAUAGGACAUCAUAGAGGGUGAGAAUCCCGUAUUUGGUCAUUCCUCCUAGCGUUGUGAUACACUUUCAACGAGUCGGAUUGUUUGGGAAUGCAGUCCAAAAUGGGUGGUAAAUUUCAUCUAAAGCUAAAUAUUGGCGAGAGACCGAUAGCGAACAAGUACCGUGGGGGGAAGAUGAAAAGAACUUUGAAAAGAGAGUUAAACAGUACGUGAAAUUGUCAAAAGGGAAGCGUUUGACACCAGUGUUGUUUUUCCGAAAAUCAAUUACGAAUGUUUUGUUUUUAGGGAGUUAUGACUUCAUCGGCUUGCUUCUUUCUUUAUGAAACUUUCUUAAUGCACUUUUCGGUUAACAAGUCAACAUCAAUUUCUUUUGUUGUAAAAGGGUAUGAGGAAGGUGGCUUUCUUUUCGGAGAAAGUGUUUAUAGCCUUGUAGCCUCUGCAAUCGGAGAGAUUGAGGUCUGCAGCGUAGAUCCUUCGGGGUUAGAUACGUUUGUGCUAAGUUAUAGCUUUUCAUAGACAACUUGUUGACUACGUUAGUCUUGUAGCUUACUCGCUGAUGCUAUUUUACCUACGCUUAGGAUGUUGAUGUGAUACUGCGAGCA